CAAUUUUCAAAAAUAUUAAUUAUGAUAUAAUUAAUCAAAAGCAAUAAAUCUCAAUAUCAUGUCUAUCCGUACAUUCAUGAGUCCUCACUGAUCACAAUUCAAACCAAAAGCGAUAAAUCUCUGUCUCAUGUCCAUCCAUACAUUCAUGAGUGCAUCUUAUUGAUCAAAAUGAUCUAGAUACUCAACUACAUUCUAGCUUGUUCCAGACAGAUCACAGAUCCUUUCCAACAGGAGGGACUGGCACUUCCAUAGUUCCUUCCAACAUGAGGACCACAUCCUUCAUACAAGGACGCAGCGUGGGAUCAUCCUGAGAACACCACAAUCCCACCUUUACCAUUCUUUCCAGAGUUUUGAAGUCCACAUCUUCAUCUUCCACAAGCUUGUCCAAUUCUCCGGCCGCAAAGCAAUUAUUUACCCAACCAGAAAGGAUUAUCUCAUCUGGAGGUACAUCUAUUUUUAUAUUGCUUCUGCAACAGAUAAUCUCCAAAAGCACAACCCCAUAACUGUAGAUAUCUGCUUUUGCUGAUAUCAGAGUAUUCCUCUGCGAUUCAGGUGCCAAAUAUCCUCCAAUCUCACUAACCCCUUCGUCUGUGCUUACUUGACUCGGUUGUAAUAACUUCGCUAACCCAAAAUCAGAGAUCUUUGCAGUCCAAGAAUCAUCUAUGAGUAUAUUUUGGGGUUUUAUAUUGCAGUGGAUGAUUUGAACCUCACACUCUUCAUGUAAAUAGAGGAUACCUCUAGCCACGUCUAGUGCAAUCCUGAAUCUCUCUCUCCAAACAGGUCGGACCUCUGCCUUGAAGAGAACAUCUGCAAGUGAACCGUUGUUCAGAUACUCAUACACAAGAAGCUUCCUGCAGCCCUCCACGCAAAAACCAAGCAACUGAACCAAGUUCCUAUGAUGAGUUCUUCCAAUGGCAGUCAUUUCAGCUCGAAAUUCUCUCUCACCUUCUUCAACGACUCUCUCUAGUCUCUUAACAGCAAUAUUUUUGCCACCUUCUUGAAGGGUUCCUCUGUAGACUGCUCCAAAACUGCCCCUUCCUAACUCUUCCUGAAAGCCAUUUGUUGCUUUCUCCAGCUCACUAUAGGAGAAUGACCGCAGAGCAAACUCUUCUGAUAAUCCCAAAUUUCCAUUUUCUGAUAUCUUUCUAUAACUAUGAACUUGAUGGCAGUAAAAAAAGAAACUAGAGACUGCAAGAGCAAAACAAACGCAAGCAAUGGAACCUGAACUUAUGGCAAGAAUCAAGAUUAAGCUUUUCUUGCCUUCUGUUGCAAUCUCUGGACCGCCAUGGCUUGCUGAACUCCCCAUAAUCACCUUGAAGAAUGCUGUGGUUGACAUGUUUCUUUUUCCAUAUCUGAGUGGAAGCUUGUAUUUUUGGCAUUUUUCACCUGUAUAUAAAACAGCCCCACAAUUACAAUCCUCUUGGCAAGACCUGGUACAGUCUUCCCUUGUCAUUGAUACGACAGAGAAAGGAAAGUCGGCCCACCAUGUAUUCUCCAUAGCGGUAAUAUUGUAAUAAAUUUUGAGAUCUUUUCUGCAAACAUCUUCUGAGAAGUUCAGAGUGCAGCCUAACGAUUUCUCACUCUGGUUUAUCCAAUCAAAACCGGGAUAACAAUUGCAGUCACCUUUAGAACCUGAGCUUGAGCAGUAACUGUUGAAGUUGCAGAAACCUUUGACUUCACAUUGAUCUUGCAACCCUACCCACUUUGUAGACAUGGUUGAGGCUGUGCUGCUAUUCUCAAAAUGGUGGGAAUACAACCUAAAAAUUCCAUCAGCAUCAAGCGUU
RNAcentral lists this unclassified non-coding RNA (1784 nucleotides) under Hevea brasiliensis (rubber tree). Lineage: Eukaryota; Viridiplantae; Streptophyta; Magnoliopsida; Malpighiales; Euphorbiaceae. The record is from RNAcentral.